This 168-nucleotide microRNA precursor is filed under the name Oryza brachyantha (malo sina). RNAcentral describes it as "MIR812 microRNA precursor family". It matches the Rfam family "MIR812 microRNA precursor family", at positions 27 to 194 of the family's 205-position model. Lineage: Eukaryota; Viridiplantae; Streptophyta; Magnoliopsida; Poales; Poaceae. The record is from Rfam by way of RNAcentral.
UACAAUGUUUUGGUCUUUGUCUUAUUUAAAAUUGUCUUACGAUUAAUAUUUUUUAUCGUUACUAGAUGAUAAAACAUAAAUAGUGUUUUAUGCGUGACUAAUUUUUUAAAGUAUUUUACAAAAUUUUCAAAUAAGACGAAGUCAAACGUUAGACACACACAGAAAUCG